Molecule: unclassified non-coding RNA, 329 nt
Filed under: soil metagenome
Description: partial contains 5.8S ribosomal RNA, internal transcribed spacer 2, and large subunit ribosomal RNA
Rfam family: 5.8S ribosomal RNA (bases 1-120)
Source: RNAcentral
GAUGAAGAACGCAGCGAAAUGCGAUAAGUAGUGUGAAUUGCAGAAUUCAGUGAAUCAUCGAAUCUUUGAACGCACAUUGCGCCCCUUGGUAUCCCGAGGGGCAUGCCUGUUCGAGCGUCAUUUCACCACUCAAGCCUGGCUUGGUGUUGGGCGACGUCCUCUUUGGGGACGCGCCUCGAAACGCUCGGCGGCGUGGCACCGGCUUUAAGCGUAGCAGAAUCUUUCGCUUUGGAAGUCGGGGCCCCGUCUGCCGGAAGACCUGCUCGCAAGGUUGACCUCGGAUCAGGCAGGGAUACCCGCUGAACUUAAGCAUAUCAAUAAGCGGAGGA